Long non-coding RNA from Eucalyptus grandis, 1681 nucleotides. RefSeq lists it as uncharacterized. The transcript has 4 exons. NCBI's taxonomy places the organism in Eukaryota, Viridiplantae, Streptophyta, Magnoliopsida, Myrtales, Myrtaceae. The record is from RefSeq and is a predicted model, not a curated record.
UUCACAUGAACAUUGCAGACUUCUAAUCUGCUUGCAUGAAUUGGAUAGUAGACUAGGCUCCAUUUCUUUAUUGAAUUUUCCAGUAUAACUUUUAUUUGGCAGAGACUCUAGAGUAUGUUGUUUAGUUCAAACACAGUUUGCAGAAGAUGAACAUGGCUCGUAAUGUCCAUUUACUGCGUAAAAUAUUUUCUUUUGUAAACUUUUAACUUUAAUGGUUCCAGCAAGUAACGUAUGUGGUCAAUGCUAUUUUUAUCCCUCAUCAGUGUGCCAGUUUUCUUAAGAGAUGAUAUUUGAUUUAUGGGGUUAAUUAAUUGAUUUAUUGUUAUUUACUUAGCAGCCUGCUGUAGAAACCAUUGGCUUUAGAAUGGGUGAGCUCAGGGGUCUUUCAAGAUGGCGUUCUUGUUAUCUAGGUAUUGGUUCGGAUGAGACACUGGCGGAUAAUGCAGUGGAAAAGGUUGGAAUGUUGCUUGUAUAGGUUGAGUGAUUCAUAAGGGUGCUCUCAUCUGUUGCAAAGCCGUUUGCAAAUUUCUUCAGCUGGCUUCUGAAAUGUAUAAAGCGAUCGAUGUCAGAGCCAAUUGAUCAAUUUUUAACAUACAAUAGUGUUCUUGAAGUUUCUACAUGAUCAAGAUGCUGCUAUGCAUCUUCUGGAUCUUUCUGAGGCUGAUGAAGAAACUACCAUUGAUCCACAAACAAUGCAGAGAAUUGGAGAAUUACUGUAGUGUGGAGGAUUUUGGGGACACGGAAUAUUUGCAAAGGACACUUGUGAAAGAAUUUCAAUAGAUGGAACGCAGUCAUUAGCAAAAGAAUUAAAAAGCUGAAAUGUAAUGGAAUCCUGUUCGUGGAUAGGAGUUUUUUGCUUGAAUGUAUUGUAUAUUGCUCUUUCAUUGUAAAUUCUUCUCAUUAAUCCUUUAUCUACUUUUUCCAUUUAUAAUUGUUCUUACACAUGCUACCUCAAUGGGAAAAAUAUGAACUAUGAGAUAAAUCAUUGCCGUCAUCGGUUGUUUGAAGUGAUCGCUUUUCCCCCCUUCGAGUCUGGUCCUUGUUGCUGAUAUGUGCACCGAAUGUGAAAUUGUGGGUCAACAAGAGUUUGAAUAUGAUACCUGGGCUCAAUAUUUUUUAUGUAAACAUUGCAAUCCUUUAAUUAAAAGUUUGUACUUUUGGUUUUACCCAACUCAUCAAUUAUUUGAGCUCAAAUAUUCAUCUUUCGGUUGGCUAAUUCAGGACUUAUGUUAAUAGGUUUGUGGAUAUUUCUAUCCAAAUGCUUAUUAGCAUAAAGUAGUCCUAUAUUUUUCAUUUCCUUGUCUGAGUGGCCAGAACCUUGAGACUAUAAUGAGAGAAGGAGAGAAAGAAAAGGAAACCUCUCGGGGUUAGGGGUUGUCUUCUGGAGGUGGUCCUCAACAAUGGUUUUUUACUUACCCUUUGUCUAAUAGUCUAGUUUUUCAUAUUUGAUCUCAGGUUUGAUUACUUGACAGUGUAUAUGGAAGCUUUAGUUGGGUGAUCUUAUGGGAUUGGGCUAUGUGUUUAGGUUAUGAUCCUUGUGUAUGGAAAUACUGUAUCUCAUGUUUCCUGAUUAGAAACUAAUUAGAUAAUCACAUUUUCAAGGAAGCUACCCAGAUGCCUUUCUCUUCUAUUUCGAAAAAGAUACUUUGUGAGAAUUUAUUGCUACAAUUCCCUCUUACAU